AUGAACUCCAUUUUUCACUAUUUAUCUUCUCCAUAACCCUGCAUUACAUUUUCCCUUUUUUGUACUCAAGAAAGAAUCUAAAUUAGAAGUACCACAAAUACUCUACUUUUCAACUUUCCCUUUGAAUUCGACCCCAUCUUCCUUUCCUCACCACAAACUGUCUCUGCAACACUCUUACAAUUCUUUCUCGAUCCCUCGUCACUCUUCCUAACACCAAACACAAAUUCCACACCACCACUCCUAAUUCCCCCCAUCAAAUCUCCACCACACAUUCAAAGGCGCAAAAGUGUUCUUGCUUCACUUCUCAUCCUUUUUUAUUUUGUUCUGUUUGGUUCAAAGUUCAUUUCUCUCACUUUCUUCCCCAUAAGUUUUGUUCUCUUUGGCUUCUCUUGUGUUUUGCAUAUGUUUCAGUUAGGGUUUAUUGGAUGGUUUUGUAGACGGCGUAAACUCGAACGACGGUGGGCUUUCGUUUAUUGUGCGGGCUUUCAUAGACAUAAACAUCCAUUUGAACAUGGACAUGUGACUCAUGCCAAAUGCAGUUUGAAAUAGUGGGGCAUCUUAAUUUGGUUUAAGUGGUGUGCCAAAUCAUGAAUUGUGUUUGCCACUUAACGAGAAGGUUCCAAAUGUGCAAUGUAGUGGUUUUGCAUGAAGAGGAUGUACCCAUACAACCAAACUUGUAAGUGGAGGAACUAUGUAUUAUAUGAUUUCCAGUAGUAUGAUGUUGUGAUGUUAUCUUGAAAUGGUUAUCCUAUGUUGGCAUAUAUGAUUGUGGGGUUAUGGUCAUGAAGUAUAUCCAAAUGUGGGAUGAUAAUCACAUAUAUAAUGGCAAAAGCAUCCAUGUAUACACAUUUGUAAUUAGAUUGACAAUUAUGUUUAAUUUGAGGGUUUUAUUUUUUUUCACUAUAUUGGACGUCCUAAUGACUUCACCUAGUAACACUUCAUAAACACCUACAAGAAAUAAGGAACAAUGCAUUUGUGAUUGGAUUAUGGACGAAGAUAAUCUCCACAAAGACUUUGUACUCAAGCAUUUUACUUUUAAUAGUCCUAGCCAAUGAUGCAAAUAGUUUGUAGUCUCUGAUAGUCUUGUGUUUUGGUAAAAUGUUUAUGUUUAAUGCAACACAAGUUUUUCUUUGUUUAUUGUAGUCGCUAAUACAUAAUUGAGGAUGAUAUUUGAUAUGGUUAUUGCAAUUGGAUAUUGUUGUUUAUGAAUUUAUGGGAAAAUAUUCACUUUUGCGAAGUACUUAAAUUGAAUAUAGUGUUCUACAUUAUUUAUAUUUGACAAAGUAAAUACAAAAUGUCACCCACCAACAAUACAUAAUGAAUAUGAAUAUGUUUGACACUUAAUUAUUGGGUUUGUCACUUAAUUACAUUCUGUUUGGCAUAUAAUUAUUGAAAAGAUUUUACAGUGUUUUUUACACAUCAUGUUAAAAUAAAAUAACAGGGAAACCCACACCCCACAACCUUUCCUGAAUUUCACCAUGCAGUUGUCAUCCACCCCAAACACAGAUUGAAAUAGAUAAUGAAAUUGAAUGUUUGAACUAUUGUUCAAAAAGUCUGACUAUUUUUGCCACUUAAAUACAUUAUGUUUGGUACGUAAUUAUUGGAAAGAUUUUAG
Long non-coding RNA from Vigna unguiculata (cowpea), 1615 nucleotides. Lineage: Eukaryota; Viridiplantae; Streptophyta; Magnoliopsida; Fabales; Fabaceae. The record is from RefSeq and is a predicted model, not a curated record.